GGAGAUGUGGGUGAGUGGCUGAAACCACCGGUUUGCUAAACCGACGUACCUUCACCGGUACCGCGGGUUCGAAUCCCGCCGUCUCCGCCA
This 90-nucleotide transfer RNA is filed under the name Neolewinella lacunae. RNAcentral's name for it is "tRNA-Ser". It matches the Rfam family "tRNA". Rfam says of the family: Transfer RNA (tRNA) molecules are approximately 80 nucleotides in length. Their secondary structure includes four short double-helical elements and three loops (D, anti-codon, and T loops). Lineage: Bacteria; Pseudomonadati; Bacteroidota; Saprospiria; Saprospirales; Lewinellaceae. The record is from RNAcentral.